ACAGCUUUUCAGUAACCGAGUUUUGUUAGUUUCCCCAACCGAGUUUGUUAGCCUCCUUUGAGUUGUAGGCGUGAUAUUUCGGCAGUUUGCAUGGUUUCGGCAUAAUUUUUUCUUCUUCACAAGUCGUCAAAGUUACUCCUGAUUUUGAGCAGCUAUUGCGUUUGUCCCCUGCAGGAUUGUCUCCCAUUUGAAAUGGUGUUGACCUAAAAUUCCUCGCAGAGUUGAUAGCAGUUUCCUCAGCGAAUCUUUUCC
This 252-nucleotide long non-coding RNA is filed under the name Lathyrus oleraceus (garden pea). Its description in RNAcentral is "Pisum sativum (pea) long non-coding RNA (PSAT_LNC037485)". The record is from RNAcentral. Lineage: Eukaryota; Viridiplantae; Streptophyta; Magnoliopsida; Fabales; Fabaceae.